This 404-nucleotide ribosomal RNA is filed under the name uncultured bacterium. RNAcentral describes it as "bacterial SSU rRNA". It matches the Rfam family "Bacterial small subunit ribosomal RNA", at positions 355 to 776 of the family's 1533-position model. The record is from RNAcentral.
UGGGGAAUAUUGCACAAUGGAGGAAACUCUGAUGCAGCAACGCCGCGUGAGCGACGAAGGCCUUCGGGUUGUAAAGCUCUGUCUUCGCUGACGAUAAUGACGGUAAGCGAGGAGGAAGCCACGGCUAACUACGUGCCAGCAGCCGCGGUAAUACGUAGGUGGCGAGCGUUGUCCGGAAUUACUGGGCGUAAAGGGUGCGUAGGCGGUUUUUUAAGUGGGAUGUGAAAUCCCUGGGCUCAACUCAGGAAUUGCAUUCCAAACUGGAAGACUAGAGUGCAGGAGAGGAAAGUGGAAUUCCCAGUGUAGCGGUGAAAUGCGUAGAGAUUGGGAGGAACACCAGUGGCGAAGGCGACUUUCUGGACUGUAACUGACGCUGAUGCACGAAAGCGUGGGGAGCAAACAGG